Molecule: microRNA, 20 nt
Filed under: Chiloscyllium plagiosum (whitespotted bambooshark)
Lineage: Eukaryota; Metazoa; Chordata; Chondrichthyes; Orectolobiformes; Hemiscylliidae
Description: microRNA PC-5p-1267001_1
Source: RNAcentral
CUGUGUGCAAUUCUGGUCUC